This 376-nucleotide ribosomal RNA is filed under the name uncultured bacterium. RNAcentral describes it as "bacterial SSU rRNA". It matches the Rfam family "Bacterial small subunit ribosomal RNA", at positions 524 to 898 of the family's 1533-position model. The record is from RNAcentral.
GACGUAGGGGCCGAGCGUUGUCCGGAGUUACUGGGCGUAAAGCGCGCGCAGGCGGUCCGCCACAUCGUCGGUGAAAGCCCCCCGCUCACCGGGGGAGGGUCCGGCGAGAUGGGCGGACUGGAGGCAGGGAGAGGCCAGUGGAAUUCCGGGUGUAGUGGUGAAAUGCGUAGAGAUCCGGAGGAACACCGGUGGCGAAGGCGGCUGGCUGGACCUGUCCUGACGCUGAGGCGCGAAGGCGUGGGGAGCGAACGGGAUUAGAUACCCCGGUAGUCCACGCGGUAAACGAUGGGCACUAGGUGUGGCGGGAGUUGACCCCUGCCGUGCCGGCGUUAACACAGUAAGUGCCCCGCCUGGGGAGUACGGCCGCAAGGCUAAA